This 685-nucleotide long non-coding RNA is filed under the name Daphnia pulicaria. RNAcentral describes it as "uncharacterized LOC124328792, transcript variant X1". Lineage: Eukaryota; Metazoa; Arthropoda; Branchiopoda; Diplostraca; Daphniidae. The record is from RNAcentral.
AGACCUUUUUCACAAUGCGGAAAGUCGGGAUUUUACAAUCCGGCAACGCCGCAAUCGGCCAUCUUUGUUCUAAUUAAUUUUUCCCCGUGUAAAUUCCCAUAAGGAAUCGGGGUCCCUUUACUUUUAAUUCAUUUUCUACUUAUUGGUGUCUUAAAUCCAAUAUAUUUCUCGUGGAUCUUGUUCCCCGAAUAACUGGUUGUUUUGAUUCUGGAAUGUCAAAACAGACAUGUUGUAUGUUUGUGUGUCUGAACUCUGAAUAGGUCAGCCAAGUUAUGUAUUUAACUAAAGAUGUUGACUGGGCAUCUGGCACCAACACGUAAUCAUGAGAAUAAUUCCAUUGGGAUGGCUACUGUUAAAAGAAUUAGUCGCUCUGUAAGAAGGCAGAUUGCUAGUAUAUGUUGAAAGAUACACCCACACGUUCCAAAAGAUGCAGUAACUGAUGUCAUGAAAGAUAACGCUGGAGAUACCCAAUGCAGAACACCUUUGAUUAACACAUCAACAAACGAGCAGCAUCCAUCUACCUGCAACACAGCUCUUGCAUUAGAAAACCAGGCAUUGGUUCUUCGAAUAAAAGUAUUGAAAAAUGAAAAGACAAUAACUAGUUGAAACAGUGUCACAUCUUCAGUAUCUGUAUUAAAAACUUCUUUUCACCUCGUUUAAUACAAUGUUUCUCUAGAAAAAAGAA